Molecule: ribosomal RNA, 499 nt
Filed under: uncultured bacterium
Lineage: Bacteria
Description: partial 16S ribosomal RNA
Rfam family: Bacterial small subunit ribosomal RNA
Source: RNAcentral
ACUCAAAGGAAUUGACGGGGGCCCGCACAAGCGGUGGAGCAUGUGGUUUAAUUCGACGCAACGCGAAGAACCUUACCCAGGAUUAACAUCUGGAGAACCCCUAUGAAAAUAGGGGGUGCCUUUCGGGGAAUUCCAAGAUAGGUGCUGCAUGGCUGUCGUCAGCUCGUGUCGUGAGAUGUUGGGUUAAGUCCCGCAACGAGCGCAACCCUUAUCCUUAGUUACCAGCAUUCAGUUGGGGACUCUAGGGAGACUGCCGGUGUUAAGCCGGAGGAAGGUGGGGAUGACGUCAAGUCCUCAUGGCCCUUAUACCUGGGGCUACACACGUGCUACAAUGGCCGGUACAAAGAGACGCUAGACCGCGAGGUGAAGCAAAUCUCAAAAAGCCGGUCUCAGUUCGGAUUGAAGUCUGCAACUCGACUUCAUGAAGUUGGAAUCGCUAGUAAUCGCGCAUCAGCAUGGCGCGGUGAAUACGUUCCCGGGCCUUGUACACACCGCCCGU